GAUGAACGCUGGCGGCGUGCCUAAUACAUGCAAGUCGAGCGAACAGAUAAGGAGCUUGCUCCUUUGAAGUUACCGGCGGACGGUUGAGUAAAACGUGGGUAACCUACCUAUAAGACUGGGAUAACUUCGGGAAACCGGAGCUAAUACCGGAUAACAUUUAGAACCGCAUGGUUCUAAAGUGAAAGAUGGUUUUGCUAUCACUUAUAGAUGGACCCGCGCCGUAUUAGCUAGUUGGUAAGGUAACGGCUUACCAAGGCGACGAUACGUAGCCGACCUGAGAGGGUGAUCGGCCACACUGGAACUGAGACACGGUCCAGACUCCUACGGGAGGCAGCAGUAGGGAAUCUUCCGCAAUGGGCGAAAGCCUGACGGAGCAACGCCGCGUGAGUGAUGAAGGGUUUCGGCUCGUAAAACUCUGUUAUUAGGGAAGAACAAAUGUGUAAGUAACUGUGCACAUCUUGACGGUACCUAAUCAGAAGGCCACGGCUAACUACGUG
This 497-nucleotide ribosomal RNA is filed under the name uncultured bacterium. Its description in RNAcentral is "partial 16S ribosomal RNA". It matches the Rfam family "Bacterial small subunit ribosomal RNA", at positions 28 to 507 of the family's 1533-position model. The record is from RNAcentral.